Molecule: long non-coding RNA, 743 nt
Filed under: Sparus aurata (gilthead seabream)
Lineage: Eukaryota; Metazoa; Chordata; Actinopteri; Spariformes; Sparidae
Description: lncRNA (ENSSAUG00010009196.1)
Source: RNAcentral
CGUCCUGACUGCUGCUGCUGAGAGAGAGAGACGUGCUAGUACCAUGGAUGUAUUGAUAUAAUAGAUCCAUGCCUAGCACUCAGCAGCAUCAGAAACAGCUAGUGGGGCUAACGGGAGGGCUACACAAAGCCACCACCACACAGGACUAGAAGCCAGAACCACACAACUUUCAUAUACCUUCCACACACACAUACUCAUCUGUCACACUCACACCAUCAACCAUUCCUAAUCAGCAAUUGAGAAACUAAAAGGAUAGUUUAACAACAGAUCCACUCAGACACAUGUCACACUGGUGAAAAGCACCUGUAGAACUGAGUUUUGAGAGCUUAAAAAAAUAGUGUUGCCUGUAACGUUGUGUCUGGUUUUCACCAUUUUAUAUACCUACACUAAGCUUGUCCUUUUUCAUGUCAGGUGUAUUGUUGAUACAGGGUUAAACCAGGGUUUGACAAGAGUUGCCAGUGUCUGAUUCUACACCCGAACACAGCAGAGUGGGCGGGGCCUGCAGACCGACCCAGUUACACCUGCAGCGAGCGGACAGAGGAAGAGGAGUGUGAGAUCCACGGGGAAAGGAGCAGGAGAAAGAGAACGACAGCUGUCGCCAGCAGACAGGCAUUGACUGUCGGACUAAUUGAAAUCGUAAGAGGCCGGCGCCCAAGGACGGUGUGACAGCAGUGGUGCCAAUGACGAGAGUGAUGUUGGCCCGAGGUGACGGUGAACAGCUGAUACUCUGCCCCAUCAUGUGA